RNAcentral lists this long non-coding RNA (894 nucleotides) under Amborella trichopoda. RNAcentral's name for it is "long non-coding RNA (ATRI_LNC001592)". The record is from RNAcentral. Lineage: Eukaryota; Viridiplantae; Streptophyta; Magnoliopsida; Amborellales; Amborellaceae.
UAUUUAUUUAAAUAUUGUUUUAGUAAUAUAUAUUAAAUAUUAUUUAAAUAAUAACACUAUUUGGGUCGCGUCCUGGUCAGGUUCCACAUGGACUCGGACGCAAAUAGUGUUUGGGUUCAAUGUUUGGACCCAUACACAGAUUUGUCUUGGGGCCGGUCGUCAGGUCCUGGGUCGAUUGCCACCCCUACUUAAGGACAACGUUUUGAGGUCUAUUUGUGCUUCCACUGAUAUUCACAGUGUAAUAUACAUCUUUCUUUAGUUUGUAAGGGUAUUGAGGAGGUUGGAGAGGAGCAUGUUGUAAAGGCGGUGCAAACAUGGUUGUAGCCAGUAUUAUCAUCAUCAUCAUCUAAGCCUUAUCCAAUCUAUUUGGGGUUGGCUACACGAAUCCUGUUCCAUCAAGGACUAUAAAUCACCAUAUCUCUUCAUGCUACUUCCAUCCAUGUCCUUUUGAGUCUUCCCCUUGGGCAUUUUAGAGCCUUUCACUUAGACCAAUUCGCCCCUCCUGACUGAUUGUAAGCCAAUACGUUUGUUGCUAAUUUAUUGCACCAAAAGCAAUUUGUGUGUUUUGUUUUUGUGGAUACCAUGCAAGCACAUUUUAUAGGCCUUAUGCUUUAGGCCAUUGGUGAAGGGACAAUUGAAAAAGCUAAGGCUGUGGUUGUGUUCAUCUACAGUUACUCUUACCCAGCAUGGCACUAAAGUUCACCAAGAAGAAGGACAUGGUGAUACUUUCCAACUCUUCAUAAUAUGGUGGAUUGGAGAAGCCAAAGUGAUCUAUGUUCACUUUUGAGGAUUGGACUAAAUGCAAAUCAUCUUAGUAUGCUGGGAAAGAGGGUUUGCGAUAUUAUUUCAUCUUAAGUCUUUGUGGUGCAGGGAAUUGUACCCACUUGAAGUAUU